This 468-nucleotide ribosomal RNA is filed under the name uncultured bacterium. RNAcentral describes it as "partial 16S ribosomal RNA". It matches the Rfam family "Bacterial small subunit ribosomal RNA", at positions 28 to 507 of the family's 1533-position model. The record is from RNAcentral.
GACGAACGCCGGCGGCGUGCUUAACACAUGCAAGUCGAACGGAAAGGCCCUGCUUUUGUGGGGUGCUCGAGUGGCGAACGGGUGAGUAACACGUGAGUAACCUGCCCUUGACUUUGGGAUAACUUCAGGAAACUGGGGCUAAUACCGGAAAGGAGCUCCUGCUGCAUGGUGGGGGUUGGAAAGUUUCGGCGGUUGGGGAUGGACUCGCGGCUUAUCAGCUUGUUGGUGGGGUAGUGGCUUACCAAGGCUUUGACGGGUAGCCGGCCUGAGAGGGUGACCGGCCACAUUGGGACUGAGAUACGGCCCAGACUCCUACGGGAGGCAGCAGUGGGGAAUAUUGCACAAUGGGCGGAAGCCUGAUGCAGCAACGCCGCGUGCGGGAUGACGGCCUUCGGGUUGUAAACCGCUUUCGCCUGUGACGAAGCGUGAGUGACGGUAAUGGGUAAAGAAGCACCGGCUAACUACGUG